UACAGGGGGUGCAAGCGUUGUUCGGAAUUAUUGGGCGUAAAGCGCGUGUAGGCGGACCACUAAGUCUGGUGUGAAAUCCCUCGGCUCAACUGAGGACGUGCAUUGGAUACUGGUGGUCUUGAGUCCUGGAGAGGGUAGCGGAAUUCCCAGUGUAGAGGUGAAAUUCGUAGAUAUUGGGAGGAACACCGGUGGCGAAGGCGGCUACCUGGACAGUGACUGACGCUGAGACGCGAAAGCAUGGGUAGCAAACAGGAUUAGAAACCCCAGUAGUCC
RNAcentral lists this ribosomal RNA (273 nucleotides) under uncultured bacterium. Its description in RNAcentral is "partial 16S ribosomal RNA". It matches the Rfam family "Bacterial small subunit ribosomal RNA", at positions 524 to 796 of the family's 1533-position model. The record is from RNAcentral.